UCUCUGCCAGGCCCCUGUGGUAUCUCACCUUGCAGAAAAGUGACAAGGAAAGCACAGUUGGAUCCCUGUUGUUGGGAAGACUGCAGUGCUUUAUUUUGCACAUGGAGCUGUGUUAAGGGUAAUACUGGCAAUUGCCAUCAACUCGAAGAAGGGUGAAACUGGGAUGAGAAGAUGUUUUCCUAAUACAGCAUCUCCAAAUUGGCUAAAUUGUUAUUCGCCUGAAGUCACUGAUGGAUCACAAGGAGCAGUCAUGACCUCUGGACUUUUCAAAUAUCCUUUCAGCAUGAGUAGCCCUUUCACAAUCAGGCUACUCUGACCAGCAAUCAGAUCAGAGCUGCACUUGGGUGAGUCUGUGGGACAGCAUCUCUUCCAGCUGCUAUUUAACAUUCUAUUAAUCAGCCUGUCUUAUUCUCUGCUUUUCCUAACUAUCCCUGGUUCUUGAUGCUUGAAAUUGUUCUGAUUUGAGAAUACAGUAGAAUUGCUACACAUCUAUAAAAUCCUAAGUAGGGCUUCGACAGCAAAAUGCCAGCUGAAGGGACAGCACCAAGCAGUACCAUGGUUAUUCACACCUUAUGGACAGUUGCUGUAUGAGUGCAGAGGAGGAAGUUUUUCUCCAUCCUUCACAACAACACUCCAUGAACUCUACGAAGUGUGAGAUUACUGUUCCAGUAUCCUUCACAGAAGCCCAUGGUGUACAGCUGGUCAGCUUAGUCCAUGCAACAGCUGCCAAGCUGGGGACAAUAUUACUCCCAUUAUCCCUCUGAAGUCCAUCUGGUGCAGAGCAGCACUUUGUGGCUCAUGCCACACGAUGCUGGUGUAAUUCCUACUUGUUAACCCUGAGAGAUGUAAAAGGGAAAUUAUAAGCAAGGCUUUUAUCAGCCCAGAUGCCAAACUUUAGACAAUAGAAUUAACUGAUAAGUGUCAUUUCCUGUAUAAGCUGCUUCCAGUUCAAUUUAUUUUACAGCUCUCAUGAAAGAUUAUAUUUUAGUUUUAAUUAACAUUUUUUUAAGAAAUCAAGGCAUUUCUGUUCCUAACAGAACACAGAAUGACCACCUUUUCCAGUUAAGAACCUAUCCUUCGA
Molecule: long non-coding RNA, 1081 nt
Organism: Cygnus olor (mute swan)
Lineage: Eukaryota; Metazoa; Chordata; Aves; Anseriformes; Anatidae
Exons: 3
Source: RefSeq, a predicted model, not a curated record